This 429-nucleotide ribosomal RNA is filed under the name Chloroflexota bacterium. RNAcentral's name for it is "Chloroflexi bacterium partial 16S ribosomal RNA". It matches the Rfam family "Bacterial small subunit ribosomal RNA", at positions 355 to 776 of the family's 1533-position model. Lineage: Bacteria; Bacillati; Chloroflexota. The record is from RNAcentral.
UGGGGAAUAUUGCACAAUGGGCGCAAGCCUGAUGCAGCCAUGCCGCGUGUAUGAAGAAGGCCUUCGGGUUGUAAAGUACUUUCAGUCGGGAGGAAGGUGUCAAGGUUAAUAACCUUGGCAAUUGACGUUACCGACAGAAGAAGCACCGGCUAACUACGUGCCAGCAGCCGCGGUAAUACGUAGGUGGCAAGCGUUGUCCGGAUUUAUUGGGCGUAAAGCGAGCGCAGGCGGUUUCUUAAGUCUGAUGUGAAAGCCCCCGGCUCAACCGGGGAGGGUCAUUGGAAACUGGGAGACUUGAGUGCAGAAGAGGAGAGUGGAAUUCCAUGUGUAGCGGUGAAAUGCGUAGAUAUAUGGAGGAACACCAGUGGCGAAGGCGGCUCUCUGGUCUGUAACUGACGCUGAGGCUCGAAAGGGUGGGGAGCAAACAGG